UAAUACAUGCAAGUCGAACGCGUCUCCGUUAAUGAUUUUAGGUGCUUGCACUUGAAAGAUUUAACAUUGAGACGAGUGGCGAACUGGUGAGUAACACGUGGGUAACCUGCCCUUGAAGUAGGGGAUAACACUUGGAAACAGGUGCUAAUACCGUAUAACAACCAAAACCACCUGGUUUUGGUUUAAAAGACGGCUUCGGCUGUCACUUUAGGAUGGACCCGCGGCGUAUUAGCUUGUUGGUAAGGUAACGGCUUACCAAGGCGAUGAUACGUAGCCGACCUGAGAGGGUAAUCGGCCACAUUGGGACUGAGACACGGCCCAAACUCCUACGGGAGGCAGCAGUAGGGAAUCUUCCACAAUGGACGAAAGUCUGAUGGAGCAACGCCGCGUGAGUGAUGAAGGGUUUCGGCUCGUAAAACUCUGUUGUUGGAGAAGAACAGGUGUCAGAGUAACUGUUGACAUCUUGACGGUAUCCAACCAGAAAGCCACGGCUAACUACGUGCCAGCAGCCGCGGUAAUACGUAGGUGGCAAGCGUUGUCCGGAUUUAUUGGGCGUAAAGCGAGCGCAGGCGGUUUUUUAGGUCUGAUGUGAAAGCCUUCGGCUUAACCGGAGAAGUGCAUCGGAAACCGGGAGACUUGAGUGCAGAAGAGGACAGUGGAACUCCAUGUGUAGCGGUGAAAUGCGUAGAUAUAUGGAAGAACACCAGUGGCGAAGGCGGCUGUCUGGUCUGUAACUGACGCUGAGGCUCGAAAGCA
RNAcentral lists this ribosomal RNA (756 nucleotides) under Lentilactobacillus buchneri. RNAcentral's name for it is "bacterial SSU rRNA". It matches the Rfam family "Bacterial small subunit ribosomal RNA", at positions 49 to 761 of the family's 1533-position model. The record is from RNAcentral. Lineage: Bacteria; Bacillati; Bacillota; Bacilli; Lactobacillales; Lactobacillaceae.